Molecule: small nuclear RNA, 107 nt
Organism: Papio anubis (olive baboon)
Lineage: Eukaryota; Metazoa; Chordata; Mammalia; Primates; Cercopithecidae
Source: Ensembl
GUGCUCACUUGGGCAGCGCAUAUACUAAAAUUGGAACCAUACAGAGAAGAUUAGCAUGGCUCCUGCACAAGAAUGACAUGAAAAUUCAUGAAGCGUUCCAUAUUUUA